CGAAUAAGUGAAUAAAGAGAGCUGUCCGUCGACAGUCCAGAAUUCAUUUAAUAUCACUGUCAUGGAAUUGCUCUCUUUGUAUAAUAUUCG
This 90-nucleotide microRNA precursor is filed under the name Drosophila yakuba. Its description in RNAcentral is "microRNA dya-mir-281 precursor (dya-mir-281-1)". Its record names the gene dya-mir-281-1. It matches the Rfam family "mir-46/mir-47/mir-281 microRNA precursor family". Rfam says of the family: The hairpin precursors (represented here) are predicted based on base pairing and cross-species conservation -- their extents are not known. In this case the mature sequences are expressed from the 3' arms of the hairpin precursors. Lineage: Eukaryota; Metazoa; Arthropoda; Insecta; Diptera; Drosophilidae. The record is from miRBase by way of RNAcentral.